RNAcentral lists this ribosomal RNA (460 nucleotides) under uncultured bacterium. Its description in RNAcentral is "partial 16S ribosomal RNA". It matches the Rfam family "Bacterial small subunit ribosomal RNA", at positions 338 to 795 of the family's 1533-position model. The record is from RNAcentral.
CCUACGCGGUGCUGCAGUGAGGAAUAUUGGUCAAUGGACGAGAGUCUGAACCAGCCAAGUAGCGUGAAGGAUGACUUCCCUAUGGGUUGUAAACUUCUUUUAUAAAGGAAUCAAACGAGUCACGUGUGCCUUUUUGCAUGUACUUUAUGAAUAAGGAUCGGCUAACUCCGUGCCAUCAGCCGCGGUAAUACGGAGGAUCCGAGCGUUAUCCGUCUUUAUUGGGUUUAAAGGGAGCGUAGAUGGGUUGUUAAGUCAGUUGUGAAAGUUUGCGGCUCAACCGUAAAAUUGCAAUUGAUACUGGCAGUCUUGAGUACAGUUGAGGUAGGCGGAAUGCGUGGUGUAGCGGUGAAAUGCUUAGAUAUCACGAAGAACCCCGAUUGCGAAGGCAGCUUACUAAACUGUGACUGACAUUGAUGCUCGAAAGUGUGGGUAUCAAACAGGAUUAGAUACCCUAGUAGUC